UAUAAGUAUGGAAAGAAAUUAUUGUAGAAUUUAAGCUAUAUAUUAAAGAGAUUUAUUUAUAUAAAUAGGCUUGGUAGCUGAUUGUAUAUAUAUGCUGGCGGCGCAAGCUCUGCUUUUAAUAGGCAACCAGUAAUAUAAGCAAGUCUUUGCCAACAAGCCUAUAAUUAUAUUAACUCUAAGAGAAAUCUAAUAAUAAACGAAGUGAAUUGAAAUAUCUUAUUAACUUUAGGAAAAGAAAUCAAAAGAGAUUCUAUGAUUAGCGUGAGCUAAAAUAGACUAGCCUAGAAAGUCAAAUGGUGGAUAAACUGUUUAAAUUAAAUGGGGAACCUUCCUCAAAGGCUAAAUAUAAUAUAUAAGCGAUAGUGGAGAGUACCGUGAGGGAACCAAAACAAAAACAGUAAUUUUAUAAGCAGUUCGGAAAAAUAAAAAAGUUAGAACGUACCUUUUGCAUAAUGGGUCACCAAGUUAACAUUAGAUGCGAGAUUAUACGUAGUUAAACCGAGCGUUAAAAUAACGGUAAGUGUCUAAAGUUAGACCCGAAGCCUGGUGAUUUUACCAUAAUCAGGAUUAUAAAAGUCCGAACGGAAUAUUGUAGCAUAAAUAUCCGAAGAAUUAUGGUAGGUGUAGUGAAAGACAAUACUGACCAGGAUAGCUGGUUUUCUGCGAAACCUAUAACAGUAGGCAAUUUAAGUAUAAUAUCUUAGCAGGUACAGAAUUUAAUCUCAGACAAGACAUAAGGCUUAGCUUGCUAGCAAGUUAAGCCCGUUUUAUUUUGUACAAAUUGGGGGAUCAUGAAGAUUUUAUCAGUGAGUAUGUAGACUCGGAAUGGCAAAGAUAUAUCUUAAAUCAUCAGACAUAGAAUGAUAAGGUUGUAUGUCAAAAGGGAAACAGCCCAGAACAAGAGUUAAGGUUCCUAAAUUAUUAGUUGAGUGAAAUUAAGAAGGUUUUUAUUAAAGUCGACAAGGAGAUAGGCUUAGAAGCAGCCAUAAUUUUAUGACCUCGUAACAGAGCGCUUGUUAAGUUUUAAAAGCAUCGAAAAUUUAUCGGAUCUAAACAAUAUACCGAAACCUUGUCCAUAUUAUUUUAUAAUUAAUUAUAAUUAAAUGGGGUAGCAGAACGUUGAGCUAAAUUAAGAUUUUUAUUUUUUAAAUGAAAUUAUAAUAAUUUAACUCAAGUGAUAAUGGUGACAUGAGUAACUAAAAGAAAAUUUUCCGCCUAAAGCUUAUGGAUGUAAUUAAGUAACGGCCUCUAAGUUUAUAUUAUCUAAAGAUUUAAACGAUGAGACAAUCUUUUGUACUAAGGACGACAUUUUAAGUGAAAAAUGUACUGGAAAAAUAGUAAUAAAUUUAUUAAGCUAUGGCUAGAACUAGCUAUAGCUAUAAAUGAAAAGUAACCGUACCUAGAAUCUGAAACAAGUAAGCUAGUAGAGAAUACGAAGGCGUAAAUGAGCUAACAAUCAUAAAGGAACUCGGCAAAUUGACUACCGUAACUUCGGGAUAAGGAGAGCUCAUUAUUCUUGAUUAAUAUCAGGUAAAGAGGAAGAAGCAUGAAAUAGUGUUGUACGACUGUUUAAUUAAAACACAGCACUUUGCUGAAAGAUUAAAAAUCUAAGUAUAGAGUGUGAUGUCUGCCCGGUGCCGGCUGGUUAACAGAUAUAAUUGAAUAUACUAAUAUUUGAUGUAGACGGAAACCCCGGUUAAAGGCGGCCUUAACGUGAGGGUCCUAAGGUAGCGAAAUGCCUUGGCCGUUAAAUGCGGUCUUGCAUGAAUGAUGUAACGAUACAACAGCUGUCUCUAUGAUUGACUCAGUGAAAUUGGAAUAGCUGUGCAGAUACAGUUUACCUCUAGUUAGACGAGAAGACCCUAUGCAGCUUUACUGUCACUAAUUAUAGAGUAUGAUAAACAAUUUUCAGAUUAUAAGGUAAUUGACGGCUAGCUUGCUUAGCAAGCUAGCUCUAUGACAAUGAGAAUCCUUUAUUUUUUUUUCAUAUGAAUGAAUUGGUUUAGGACCACGAGUUGGUAGUAAAUCAACCUAAUUCAGCUUAUUUUCCUUUCUGCCAUAAGCGCAUAAUGAUAGAUUAAACUUAAAUUUUGAUUUAUGCCUGCAGAAAUAGAUAAGUACCCUUGGUUAAGGAACUAUCGCUAGGGGACAGUUUAUGUGGGGCACAGACCCUGUAAAGAGUAAACAGGAGUGUCUAAUAAUUUAUAAUUAUUUUGUUUGCGAUUUAAGGUAGUAGGCUAUAAAGCUCGCCGAAAAAAAAAUGUAUUUUUUUUUUUACUGGCGAAGCUAGCUACAACUAUUUUUAAUCAUAUAAAAUUAUUUAUAUGUACAUUCGUUGUAUAUAUAUUUAAAAAAAGGUAGGAUUUUCACUAUAUAGAAAUUAGAGAUAAUUAAUUCUGGCUUAUUUUCUCCGAAAACGGAGCUCCAGCCAGAAUCAGCAAGCUCGAAAAAAAAAUAUAUUUUUUUUUUACUUCGUAUUAGUGCGAAGGGGGCGCUUUUAUGAUAACACAUAGAACAGGCUAAUUUGCGCAAGAGUGUACAAAAUGAGUGCGCGGUUUGGCACCUCGAUGUCGGCUUAACUUAUCCUCAUGGAUGCAGGAACUAUGUAGGGUGCGACUGUUCGUCGAUUAAAAAGUUACAUGAGCUGGGUUAAAUACGUCGUGAGACAGUAUGGUUUCUAUCUUCUAGGGGGAAUUAGAAUAUAAUAAGAACUAACUUUUGUACGAAAGGAACAAGAAGAAUUUAAUUUGUAAAAGGGUUAAAUAAUAGUUACUAACCUAUGGUUUACCUGUUGUCUAUGUGCCCAAAUAUUAAAAUAUAUAUAUUGAUUAUAUAUAUCUGUAUAGCUAAAGCUAUACAUAGGGAUGUUUCUUUCACUAAGAUAAAUAUAUAGCAUAGGCACGGCAGGAAAGCUAAGUUGGUUAAGGAUAAGUGCUGAAAGCAUAUAGGCACGAAGCUUAUCUUAAGAUAUUUCUUAAAUAUACGUAAAAUAUUAUUACGAAGAAUGUAAUAUAGGCUUUAUCCGUACGAAUCAUGAGAUUUUUAAGAAUAAAGUACUAAUUUUAUAAAUAACUAUUUAU
This 3080-nucleotide ribosomal RNA is filed under the name Fusarium tricinctum. RNAcentral describes it as "16S ribosomal RNA". It matches the Rfam family "Bacterial large subunit ribosomal RNA". Lineage: Eukaryota; Fungi; Ascomycota; Sordariomycetes; Hypocreales; Nectriaceae. The record is from RNAcentral.